GACGAACGCUGGCGGCGUGCUUAACACAUGCAAGUCGAGCGGUAAGGCCCUUUUGGGGGUACACGAGCGGCGAACGGGUGAGUAACACGUGGGUGACCUGCCCUCAGCUCUGGGAUAAGCCUGGGAAACUGGGUCUAAUACUGGAUAUGACCUUUCCUCGCAUGGGGUUGGGUGGAAAGUUUUUCGGCUGGGGAUGGGCCCGCGGCCUAUCAGCUUGUUGGUGGGGUGAUGGCCUACCAAGGCGACGACGGUAGCGGCCUGAGAGGCGACUGGCCACACUGGGACUGAGACACGGCCCAGACUCCUACGGGAGGCAGCAGUGGGGAAGUAUUGCGCAAUGGGCGGAAGCCUGACGCAGCGACGCCGCGUGGGGAUGACGGCCUCGGUUGU
RNAcentral lists this ribosomal RNA (390 nucleotides) under uncultured bacterium. RNAcentral's name for it is "bacterial SSU rRNA". It matches the Rfam family "Bacterial small subunit ribosomal RNA", at positions 28 to 426 of the family's 1533-position model. The record is from RNAcentral.